GUGUGGAACCUGGAAUUCAAACGGCUGGGUAGGAAGCACGCUAGCAGGGGCCUCUGGCCUUGCUGAGGGUCCCUGUUUCCCCUUUUCCUUCCUUUUCACCCAACAAAACCCUGCUUUACUCACCCUUCAAACCAUCUAUGAGCCUAAAUUGUCGUGGUCGUGGAAUGGACAAGGACCCAGUCUUUAGCUGAACUAAGGGAAAGUCCUGCUUUUUGGCGCGCAACAGGGGAGCUCAAGAAACAGGCCUCACUCACGGCAUAUGGAACUAACCACGCCCCUAACUAAGAAGGCACACCUUAGUUGCAGUUAGCACACAAUUAAAGCAACUCUCCAAGUUUUACCUUAAAGUUCAAAAUUGCUAGGAGUUGAAACUACUAGAAAUAUAUUUACAUGCAAGAGUCAAAGAAACUUUGAACUAUUUAUGGCCUUUAAUAAUUAAGUAAGGUAUACUCCUGUGAUCAAGACUUGGAGCAUAUUUGUUUCUCUCUGCCUGGUUCCUCUAGAAAUUGGAAACUAUCAGAACAGAGACCAACUCCGUUUCCCGAUCCCUUUGCAAUCUGCAUUGAACCAUGAGUCAAGUUCUUGAUAAAGGAGUGAAAAUGGUAAGUCUAAAGCAAUGAAAAGCUGCUGUAUUGACUACACAUGCCUUCAUUUCUUCUACCCUGCUUCUUUCAUGCCUGCUUAUCUGAAUGACACCAGGAUGACAUUUAAGGCACAUCUGAAGAUGGGGAAACCACAGCACAGAAUAAGGCUGGGCCCUUGAAUCAAUAAAUGAAGGAGAACUACUCAAGAGAACAAAACCACCAGCAAUAUCCACCUGUAUUUGUCUUUUCAUAAUGUGUGACACAUGUGCUCAUGGAUUAUUGUCCGAAGCAAGACAUGUGACCAAGCCUAACAUCAACUGGGUGAAGAGCUAUAUGUUCCUUUCUCAAGAGGCACUACAAGUGACAUGCCACUGGGCAGGAUUAUCCUUUCUACUCUCCUACUUUCUGAACUACUUUUCUCCCUCUGUAAGUCUUAAAGAAGUUCAAUGAGCUAUAAGUGAACUCAGGUAGACAACUCAACAAAAUCAAGAAGACAAUACAUGAACAAAAUGAUACUUUGAAUAAAUAAAUAUAAACCAUAAAAAACUUGAAUUAUUCAGUUCAGUCAUAAUACAUGACUUUAAACUUCAAAACAGUUUGUUAUAGUACAGCCAAAAUCAUUAAAAUUGGUCAGCUAAGAAGUAUAUAUUUUUUCUAGUUCUCUAAUGGAUAGCUGUACAUUAUAUUCACAACUUACAAAAUCUGUCCAGCAAGAUAACAGAUUAGAAGACACUUAACAUUGCUUCCCCCACAAAGGUAUAAGCAGUAACUAUUCAAAGACAAUAAAACUACCCUGAAGUUACUAGAACUUGAGAGAGAAGCAGAGGAACUGAUGGAGCCUGCAGAAAUGAGAGAAGCUGUGACUGAUAAAUGACGAUUUUAGAAUCUGCCACCCACUACCCCAAGCCACAUAACAGCUCACAGAAAAUUUCUAUACAUUUAGGAUGUCUGAGUUGGAAGAAAUUCGAAGUUGAAAAUAAACAUUCAAUUUCCCUAUCAGUUGAGGAGGCUUCAUGGGAAGUCUACAUGGGUCUCAUCCCAUGGAAAACACUGAGAGUUCCAGGAGGGCUGAAUGACCUGAGUGAACUGAAGAUAAAAUCAGGAGAGCUGAUUGCAGCAACUGUCCUG
Molecule: long non-coding RNA, 1712 nt
Organism: Homo sapiens (human)
Lineage: Eukaryota; Metazoa; Chordata; Mammalia; Primates; Hominidae
Product: long intergenic non-protein coding RNA 1515
Source: Ensembl